CCCUUAGAUGUUCUGGGCCGCACGCGCGCUACACUGUUGCAUUCAACGAGUUUCUUCCUGGUCCGAGAGGAAUGGGUAACCUUUUGAAAGUGCAUCGUGAUAGGGAUAGACUAUUGCAAUUAUUGGUCUUCAACGAGGAAUUCCUAGUAGACGUAGUUCAUCAGACUGCAUCGAUUACGUCCCUGCCCUUUGUACACACCGCCCGUCGCUCCUACCGAUUGAAUGCUCAGGUGAGCCAUUCGGACUUUCAUCAUGCUGGUUUCCAGUUUUGAUGAAGGAAAGUCUUGCGAACCUUAUCAUUUAGAGGAAGGAGAAGUCGUAACA
This 324-nucleotide ribosomal RNA is filed under the name uncultured eukaryote. RNAcentral's name for it is "partial 18S ribosomal RNA". It matches the Rfam family "Eukaryotic small subunit ribosomal RNA", at positions 1470 to 1796 of the family's 1831-position model. The record is from RNAcentral.